Homo sapiens (human) is the source of this 1532-nucleotide long non-coding RNA. The record is from Ensembl. Lineage: Eukaryota; Metazoa; Chordata; Mammalia; Primates; Hominidae.
GACAAAGUUAAGGAUGCGCAUCCGUGACACGACCUCGGGAAGUCCUGACGACAUGUGCCCAAGGUGGUCGGGGCACAGCCUGGUUUUAUACAUUUUAGGGAGACAUGAGACAUCAAUCAAUACAUGUAAGAAGUACACUGGUUCCAUCCAGAAAGACGGGGACAGCUCCAAGCAGGAAAGGGGUUUCCAGGUCACAGGUAGGUGAGACAACUGGUUGCAUUCUUUUGAGUUUAGAGACAACCGGUUGCAUUCUUUUGAGUUUCUGGUAAGCGAGGCAAUCAGAAUAUGCAUCUAUCUCAGUGAGCAGAGGGAUGAGUUUGAAUAGAAUGGGAGGGAGUUUUGCCCUGAGCAGUUCCCAGCUUGAAGGGACCCAAGAGAUUUUUCCUUUCACAGCCCCACGUCAUCGCAGGAGUCGUUGUGAGAGGGAGGCAGGAGGGUCAGGGUCAGCAAGGAGAUGGUUGAUGGAGGCGGAGGUCAGGGCGAUGCGACCGCUGGCUUUGAAGAUGGCCGUGAGCCAGGGACUGCAGGUGGCCUCUAAAGGCUGGAGAAGCGAGGAAACAGAUUCUCCCCUAAAGCCUCCAGAAAGGAACCGUUCUGCCCACACUUUGACUUCUCAAAACUGUAAAAGAAUGAAUGUGUGUUGUUUCAAGCCACUAAAUUUGUGGUCAUUUGUUACAGCCGCCAUAGGAAUCUCACACAGAACCUCAGAGAGCAGUGUGAAGAUAGAAGCUUCCUCCAGUGAAGCAGCAGCCCCGGCACUGGGCCUGCAGUGGAGACCGGGAAUGAGAGAAGCCCCUGGCGUGGGCUGGCAAGGACGCAGAGCACGGAGAGCACCUGGGGCAGGGCCGGCGCCAACGGCAUAACACAUGCUGCUGCUCCUCUCCCGCGGGGCCCAUGGAGAUGGCUGGAAGCAGCCCAACGUCAGGGCAGAUCCCUACCUUCACACUCACAUAAGAGAAGAGUGAAGUUUCGGGGACUCCACACCUCAAGGUAGUUCCACCGUGCGAGGUGCUGCGCUCACAGUAUUACUCAUGCACCUUUCUGAUAAGAAAAGUGAAAAUGUGAAGUUGAAAACUGAAGACGCCCAGCAACUUCCUGAAUCCAGCCCUCCACGUCCUGCCCUACGGGACGGACGACUCCCAAAGAGGAAUCGUUGGUGGAAGUCCCAUGUUUCGUUGCCGUUGGAAGGGGGAACUGGUCAAGGGCUCAUCUCUGGACCCACACCCCAUAACCAACAUGGAAGCCUGGAUUUGGCCCUGGAUCAGGCUGGCUCCCCAGGGAAGGGUCCAGUCUCUCCGGGGAGACAUCCCGACUUCGGGUCCUGCUUUCUCUACUGUAAUUCGAGGCUGGCCAUGCCCCUCAGUGGGCCUCAGUUUCCUCACCUGUACAGUGGGGAAAUCCAUAGGACCUACCUCCUGGGAGGGCACUGAGGACCGAGGGAAUGAAUGCCUGUCCAGUGCUCAUGAUCGUGACAAGCACUGCGCAGAAUAAAUCCGGAAUAAACGCUCACCGGGUGAGGGAGGGCAGGGAAG